Hyla sarda is the source of this 3923-nucleotide long non-coding RNA. RefSeq lists it as uncharacterized. The transcript is spliced from 3 exons. Lineage: Eukaryota; Metazoa; Chordata; Amphibia; Anura; Hylidae. The record is from RefSeq and is a predicted model, not a curated record.
GGUUAAAUGACCUGUGUUGGGGGUUGAGUGCUCGGUGUAGUAUGAAGAGGUAGGAGUGUUGGUUGGAUGACCUGUCUUGGGGGUUGUGUGUUCGGUGUAGUAUAGAGAGGUAGUAAUGGGGGUUGGAUGACCUGUGUUGGGGGCUGUGUGCUCUUUGUAGUAUGAAGAGGUAGUAGUCUCGGUUGGAUGACCUGUGUUGGGAGUUGUGUGCUCGGUGUAGUAUAGAGAGGCAGUAGUGUCGGUUGGAUGACCUGUGUUGGGGUUGUGUGCUUGGUGUAGUAUAGAGAGGUAGUAGUGUCGGUUGGAUGACUUGUGUUGGUGGUUGUGUGUUCAGUGUAGUAUAGAGAUGUAGUAGUCUUGGUUGAAUGACCUUUGCUGGGUGUUGUGUGCUCGGUGUAGUAUAGAGAGGUAGUAGUGUCGGUUGGAUGACCUCUGUUGGGGUUGUGUGCUCGGUGUAUUAUGGAGAGGUAGUAGAGUUGGUUGGAUGAUCUGUGUUGGGGUUUUGUACUCGGUGUAGUAUGGAGAGGUAGUAGUGUCGGUUAAAUGACCUGUGUUGGGGUUGUGUGCUCGCUGUAGUAUGGAGAGGUAGUAUUGUCGGUUGGAUGACCUGUGUUGGGGGUUGUGUGCUUGGUGUAGUAUGGAGAGGUAGUAGUAUUGGUUAAAUGACCUGUGUCGGGGUUGUGUGCUCACUGUAGUAUGGAGAGGUAGUAGUGUUGGUUAGAUGACCUGUUUUGAGGGUUGCGUGCUCUUUGUAGUAACAAUCAUCGUCUGGUGGACCCAUGGUGGCGAUAUUUGUGAAUGUUCUGUAAUAGCUUUUUUAGGACGGGAAGGAUGAAGACAAACAGAGGAGAUGUUGGAUGGUAGUUAUAGGGCGGUAAUCAUUGUGCAGUAGGUGUCGGACAAUAGGUGUAGGGCUGUAGUUAUAGAAAGGUAGGUAUAUGGCUGUAGUUGUAGUAAGGUAGGUGUAGGACUGUUGUUGUUGGAAAGUAGGAGUAGGGCGGUAGGUGUAGGAUGGUAGCUGUAAGAAGGUAGGUGUUGGGGGGUAGUUGUAGUAAGAUAGGUAUAGGAUGGUAGUUGUAGGAACGUAGGUGAAGGGUGGUAGUUGUAGUAAGGUAGGUGUAGGGCAAUAGUUGUAGGAAGGUAGGUGUAGGAUGGUAGUUGUUGGAAAGUAGGUGUAGGGUGGUAGUAUUAGGAAGGUAGGUGUAGGGCUGUAGUUGUAGGAGGUAGGUGUAGGAUGGCAGUUGAUGGAAAGUAGGUGUAGGGCUGUAGUUGUAGGAGGUAGGUGUAGGGUGGCAGUUGAUGGAAAGUAGGUGUAGGGCUGUAGUUGUAGGAGGUAGGUGUAGGGUGGCAGUUGAUGGAAAGUAGGUGUAGGGCUGUAGUUGUAGGAAGGUAGGUGUAGGGCUUUAGUUGUAGGAAAGUAGGUGUAGGAUGGUUGUUGAUGGAAAGUAGGUGUAGGGAAGUAGUGGUAGAAAGGUAGGUGUAGGGUGGUAGUAUUAGGAAGGUAGGUGUAGGGUGCUAGUUUUAGGAAAGUAGGUGUAGGGCUGUAAUUGUAUAAAGGUAGGUGUUGGGCGGUAGUAUUAGGAAUUACCCCAAUGUGUUAAGGUACAGCUCACCGGACCAACGUCUCAUGUAAUCCAAACAAGAAGUGAACAAAGUCCUGCACAGUCUCGAUGCAAUAGGUUUCUUUUUAUUCAGCUUACCUGUGGUAUGACUAAGGCCUAAUGACUGUAGCCGAAACGCGUCACCUGUUCUCUAUGUUGGCUGAUUGCUGAAUAAAAAGUAACGUAUUGCAUAGAGACUGCGCUGGACUUUGUUCGCUUAUUGUUUGUAUUAGGAAGGUAGGUCUAGGGCUGUAGUUGUAGGAAGGUAAGUGUAGGACAGUAGUUGUGAGCAGGAAAGUGUGGGGUGGUAGUUGUAGGAAGGUAGGAGUAGGUCUGUAGUUGUAGGAAGGUAGGUUUAAGCGGUAGUAUUAGGAAGGUAGGUGUAGGGUGGUAGUUGUAGGAAAGUAGGUGUAGGGUGGUAGUUGUAGGAAGGUAGGUUUAGGGUGGUAGUUGUAGGAAGGUAGGUUUAAGCUGUAGUAUUAGGAAGGUAGGUGUAGGGUGGUAGUUGUAGGAAAGUAGGUGUAGGGUGUUAGUUGUAGGAAGGUAGGUGUAGGGUGGUAGUAUUAGGAAGGUAGGUGUAGGGUGGUAGUUGUAGGAAAGUAGGUGUAGGGUGUUAGUUGUAGGAAGGUAGGUUUAGGGUGUUAGUUGUAGGAAGGUAGGUUUAGGCGGUAGUAUUAGGAAGGUAGGUGUAGGGUGGUAGUUGUAGGAAGGUAGGUUUCAGCGUUAGUAUUAGGAAGGUAGGUGUAGGGUGGUAGUUGUAGGAAAGUAGGUGUAGGGUGUUAGUUGUAGGAAGGUAGGUGUAGGGUGGUAGUUGUAGGAAGGUAGGUUUAAGCGGUAGUAUUAGGAAGGUAGGUGUAGGGUGGUAGUUGUAGGAAAGUAGGUGUAGGGUGUUAGUUGUAGGAAGGUAGGUGUAGGGUGGUAGUUGUAGGAAGGUAGGUUUAAGCGGUAGUAAUAGGAAGGUAGGUGUAGGGUGGUAGUUGUAGGAAGGUAGGUUUAAGCGGUAGUAUUAGGAAGGUAGGUGUAGGGUGGUAGUUGUAGGAAGGUAGGUUUAAGCGGUAGUAUUAGGAAGGUAGGUGUAGGGUGGUAGUUGUAGGAAGGUAGGUUUAAGCGGUAGUAUUAGGAAGGUAGGUGUAGGGUGGUAGUUGUAGGAAAGUAGGUGUAGGGUGUUAGUUGUAGGAAGUUAGGUGUAGGGUGGUAGUUGUAGCAAAGAAGGUGUAGGGUGUUAGUUGUAGGAAGGUAGGUGUAGGGCAGUAGUUGUAUCUUAGUACUUGUGUGUUUGAAGGUCCAUGGUGUUUUGAGGAUUUGAUGGUGGGUGUAGUGGGGCAGAUAAGGUGUCAGCUGUGUUUGGCGGUAGGACAGUGUGCAGGGGGUUGUGCUGGAAGUAUAAGGUUCGGCAACUGUUGUGGUGAUGGACUUGCUGGGUUUAGUGAAGAUGUCUUGUAGUCUGAGUAUGGGUGACGAGUAGUUGGCGGACCAUUACUCUUGUUGCUUGGUGUGAGGGGCGGGGACAUAUAUCUUGUGCUGUUUUAACCUCUGUCCAUUACUCUUGCUGCUUGGUGUGAGGGGCGGAGACUUAUAUCUUGUGCUGUUGUAACCUCUGUCCAUUACUCUUGUUGCUUGGUGUGGGGGCGGAGACUUAUAUCUUGUGCUGUUGUAACCUCUGUCCAUUACUCUUGUUGCUUGGUGUAGGGGCGGGGACAUAUAUCUUGUGCUGUUUUCGUCUGUGUCCAUUACUCUUGUUGCUUGGUGUGGGGGCGGGGACAUAUAUCUUGUGCUGUUUUUGCCUCUGUCCUUUACUCUUGUUGCUUGGUGUGGGGGCGGGGACAUAUAUCUUGUGCUGUUUUCGUCUGUGUCAAAUACUCUUGUUGCUUGGUGUGGGGGCGGGGACAUAUAUAUAUCGUGCUGUUUUCGUCUGUGUCCAUUACUCUUGUUGCUUGGUGUGGGGGCAGGGACAUAUAUCUCGUGCUGUUUUUGCCUCUGUCCUUUACUCUUGUUGCUUGGUGUGGGGGCGGGGACAUAUAUCUUGUGCUGUUUUCGUCUGUGUCAAUUACUCUUGUUGCUUGGUGUGGGGGCGGGGACAUAUAUCUUGUGCUGUUUUGGUCUGUGUCCAUUACUCUUGUUGCUUGGUGUGGGGGCGGGGACAUAUAUCUUGUGCUGUAUUUGCCUCUGUCCAUUACUCUUGUUGCUUGGUGUGGGAGCAGGGAUAUAUAUCUUGUGCUGUUUUCCUCUGUGUCCAUUACUCUUGUUGCUUGGUGUGGGGGCGGGGACAUAUAUCUUGUGCUGUAUUUGUCUCUGUCCAUUACUCUUGUUGCUUAGUGUGGG